This 1396-nucleotide ribosomal RNA is filed under the name Ralstonia solanacearum. RNAcentral's name for it is "bacterial LSU rRNA". It matches the Rfam family "Bacterial large subunit ribosomal RNA", at positions 120 to 1573 of the family's 2925-position model. The record is from RNAcentral. Lineage: Bacteria; Pseudomonadati; Pseudomonadota; Betaproteobacteria; Burkholderiales; Burkholderiaceae.
GGGGAAACCCGGCCCGAAUGGGUCAUCUGUUACUGAAUUCAUAGGUAACAGAGGCGAACGCAGUGAACUGAAACAUCUAAGUAGCUGCAGGAAAAGAAAUCAACCGAGAUUCCCAAAGUAGUGGCGAGCGAAAUGGGAUCAGCCUUGUACUCUUUAGCAGUAUUGUUAGCAAAACGGAAUGGAAAGUCCGGCCAUAGUGGGUGAUAGCCCCGUAUGCGAAAACAGUAUUGUGGAACUAGGUGUACGACAAGUAGGGCGGGACACGUGAAAUCCUGUCUGAAGAUGGGGGGACCAUCCUCCAAGGCUAAAUACUCGUGAUCGACCGAUAGUGAACCAGUACCGUGAGGGAAAGGCGAAAAGAACCCCGGGAGGGGAGUGAAAUAGAUCCUGAAACCGCAUGCAUACAAACAGUCGGAGCCUGGAAACGGGUGACGGCGUACCUUUUGUAUAAUGGGUCAGCGACUUACAUUCAGUGGCAAGCUUAACCGAUUAGGGAAGGCGUAGCGAAAGCGAGUCCGAAUAGGGCGUUCAGUCGCUGGGUGUAGACCCGAAACCAAGUGAUCUAUCCAUGGCCAGGUUGAAGGUGCGGUAACACGUACUGGAGGACCGAACCCACUAACGUUGAAAAGUUAGGGGAUGAGCUGUGGAUAGGGGUGAAAGGCUAAACAAACUUGGAAAUAGCUGGUUCUCUCCGAAAACUAUUUAGGUAGUGCCUCGUGUCUCACCUUCGGGGGUAGAGCACUGUCAUGGUUGGGGGGUCUAUUGCUGAUUACCCCGCCAUAGCAAACUCCGAAUACCGAAGAGUGCAAUCACGGGAGACAGACAUCGGGUGCUAACGUCCGGUGUCAAGAGGGAAACAACCCAGACCGCCAGCUAAGGUCCCUAAGAUUGGCUAAGUGGGAAACGAAGUGGGAAGGCUAAAACAGUCAGGAGGUUGGCUUAGAAGCAGCCACCCUUUAAAGAAAGCGUAAUAGCUCACUGAUCGAGUCGUCCUGCGCGGAAGAUGUAACGGGGCUAAGCCAGUCACCGAAGCUGCGGAUGCACGUAAGUGCAUGGUAGGAGAGCGUUCUGUAAGCCUGUGAAGGUGUCUUGUGAAGGAUGCUGGAGGUAUCAGAAGUGCGAAUGCUGACAUGAGUAGCGAUAAAGGGGGUGAAAGGCCCCCUCGCCGUAAGCCCAAGGUUUCCUACGCAACGUUCAUCGGCGUAGGGUGAGUCGGCCCCUAAGGCGAGGCAGAGAUGCGUAGCUGAUGGGAAGCAGGUUAAUAUUCCUGCACCGUCGUAUGAUGCGAUGGGGGGACGGAUCGCGGAAGGUUGUCCGGGUGUUGGAUGUCCCGGUCCCUACAUUGGAGAUGGCACUUAGGCAAAUCCGGGUGCGUGAUUCAAGGGUGUGGGGCGAG